This 76-nucleotide transfer RNA is filed under the name Marichromatium gracile. Its description in RNAcentral is "tRNA-Thr". It matches the Rfam family "tRNA". Rfam says of the family: Transfer RNA (tRNA) molecules are approximately 80 nucleotides in length. Their secondary structure includes four short double-helical elements and three loops (D, anti-codon, and T loops). Further hydrogen bonds mediate the characteristic L-shaped molecular structure. tRNAs have two regions of fundamental functional importance: the anti-codon, which is responsible for specific mRNA codon recognition, and the 3' end, to which the tRNAs corresponding amino acid is attached (by aminoacyl-tRNA synthetases). tRNAs cope with the degeneracy of the genetic code in two manners: having more than one tRNA (with a specific anti-codon) for a particular amino acid; and 'wobble' base-pairing, i.e. permitting non-standard base-pairing at the 3rd anti-codon position. The record is from RNAcentral. Lineage: Bacteria; Pseudomonadati; Pseudomonadota; Gammaproteobacteria; Chromatiales; Chromatiaceae. RNAcentral also lists the same sequence under 12 other names.
GCCGAUGUAGCUCAGUUGGUAGAGCAACGCAUUCGUAAUGCGUGGGUCAGCGGUUCGAAUCCGCUCAUCGGCUCCA